RNAcentral lists this unclassified non-coding RNA (491 nucleotides) under Hevea brasiliensis (rubber tree). Lineage: Eukaryota; Viridiplantae; Streptophyta; Magnoliopsida; Malpighiales; Euphorbiaceae. The record is from RNAcentral.
AUAAUGUGCGUCGGAUUCGCUUCGGUAAGGACUUUUAAAUUAUUCUAGGAUGCAUGUUGCAGCUUUUCGUUCCUGAAAUUGCUAUCUAUGUUCUUAAACAAGCUAUGCAUAGAUUGCUUUGUCCUAUUUAGUAUGGGUAUAUCACUAGACCCAGCUAAAAACAAUAUUGACACUGAAGAUGCAAACUGGCCACGCCAGUGUACUUUUGAUGAUUCAUUUGAAACCUUGUAUUAGAGACUCUAUGAGGACAAACCAAGCAUGCAUAUAGAAGUGCAAGAGCACCCUUUUUCAAUUGAACUUUCAAAUCUUCACAGCCUAAUUUUCAGUCAUGUGAACUCAGUUUGUGAAUCACGUGUGUUACUUAACCUGCAUCUUAAUAUGAACAAACAUCAUGAGAAAAGGCUGUAAACUUUGAGACCUUAGGUUUUCAAUUUAUUACGUUGAUUGUGUAUACAUGUUCAGGGUGAGCCUUGAUGCAACAGUUAAUUUGU